AGAGCAUGGAGACUUCAACCCGUUUGAUGGACCUGAGGGGCUUCUUGCUCAUGCUUAUCUACCUGGAAACGACACUGGUGUAGAUACACACUUUGAUGAGGAUGAAACAUGGACCAAAGACUUUCACGGUGAAAACCCAGACCACGGAGUCAAGCCUAAACCAGAAGCUCCAACCAAGUGUGACCCUGAACUGAGUUUCGAUGCCAUCACUGAACUCUGUGGAGAGACAAUCAUUUUCAAAGACAGGUUUUACUGGUGACUACAUCCAAAGAUGCCUGAGCCUGAACAAACUCUCAUUAAAAAAUACCUGGCCUGAAUUACCAAACAAAGUAGAUGCUGCCUACGAGAACCAAAGCAUGAAUGCUUGAAUAAAAAUAAUUGUUAUUUCUAUUUUUUAACAGGAUAUUUGUACUUCUAUCAUGAGCACAUGCAGUUUUAGUACAGUUAUGGCUCUCUGGAAGUCAUGCGCAUCAUGAGGGCCAACUCCAUACUCAACUGUUGAGCGCUUAUAAUGUGGCUGUGCCAUAAACUCAAUAAUUAUCAACUGCUGUGAAAAUUAGCAUUCAUUUUUAUAUAUUCUUUAUACUACUGAGCUGGCUCCAUUCAUUUAAAAUGUAUUUAUAGACCAUGAUUCAGGGAUUAU
Molecule: long non-coding RNA, 643 nt
Organism: Cyprinus carpio (common carp)
Lineage: Eukaryota; Metazoa; Chordata; Actinopteri; Cypriniformes; Cyprinidae
Exons: 3
Source: RefSeq, a predicted model, not a curated record